Tachysurus vachellii is the source of this 484-nucleotide long non-coding RNA. RefSeq lists it as uncharacterized. The record is from RefSeq and is a predicted model, not a curated record. The transcript has 3 exons. Lineage: Eukaryota; Metazoa; Chordata; Actinopteri; Siluriformes; Bagridae.
CAAGCAAAAAGACCCACAAGAGUCGCUAAUAGCCAUUCCGAGGCAAUGCGUCUGUUUUACGCUGCGCAAACGAUCUGUGAAUCUUUGUUUUUAACAUAAAUGUGGAGAUAAAACCGUAGACAGUUCUGUCAAAAGGACGUUUUUUAAAGCUGGGACUCUGAUCUGCAUUGCUUUGAGAAACUUGACUAUAUGAAGACGCCUAAUCGACCUGUUCCUGGUCCUGGUCCUGAUCCUGGUCCUGAUCCAGAGACUGAAGGAAGUGCAGAGUCACGCAAGGAAGGAAAAGAUCUAUGACCUGCUAAAAGCCAGUGUGGAGACAGAAAGAGAGCGAGCUUAUUAAAUGCUACCUGUUAAUGUUAACGUCAACGUUAAUGUUUUUCCACCAUUUAAAUAAUAAUAAAUAUAUUAUUGUACUAAAAGGAAAAAUGUAAUCGAAUGUCAUAUUCUGAUGCCGAUUCCUCCAAUAAAAUCCUAAUAAAUCUCA